CAGGUCCCCACUAGAUUAGCUAGACACAGAGUACUGAUUGGUGCAUUCACAAACCCUGAGCUAGACACAGGGUGCUGAUUGGUGCAUUUACAAACCUUGAGCUAGACACAGAGCGCUGAUUGGUGCAUUCACAACCCCUUAGCUAGACAUAAAGGUUCUCCAAGUCCCCACUAGACUCAGGAGCCCAGCUGGCUUCACCCAGUGGAUCCCGCACCGGGGAGCUGGUGGAGCUGUGGGUCAGUCCCGUGAGGUGCGCUGGCACUCCUCAGCCCUUGGGUGGUCGAUGGGACUGGGUGCCGUGGAGCAGGGGGCGACGCUUGUCCGGGAGGCUUGGUUGGUGCAGGAGCCCACGGCGUGGGGGAGGCUCAGGCAUGGCGGGCUGCGGGUCCCGAGCCCUGCCCCGCGGGGAGGCAUCUGAGGCCAGGUGAGAAUUUGAGCGCCUGCCGGCACUGCUGGGGGACCCGGCGCACCCUCCGCAGCUGCCGGCCCGGGUGCUAAGCCUUACUUCACUGCCCCGGGCGGGCGGCUCCGCCGGCUGCUCUGAGUGCUGGGCCGCGGAGCCCACGCCCACCCGGAACUCGCGCUGGCCCGGAAGCGCCGCGCGCAGCCUCGGUUCCCGCCCGUGCCUCUCCCUCCACACCUCCCCGCAACUGAGGGAGCCGGCUCCGGCCUCGGCCAGCCCAGAAAGGGGCUCACACAGUGCAGGGCCGGGCUGAAGGGCUCCUUAAGGGCGGCCAGAGUUGGCGCCAAGGCUGAGGAGGUGCCCAGAGCGAGCGAGGGCUGCCAGGGCUGCUAGCAGGCUGUCACCUCUCAAUAGCAGUUUUGUAUAUGGGAUCUAGCCCCUCCCUAAGAGGUUGAUUCUAAGGAAGCCAACAGCCGUGUUGUGAGUACCCAAUGGAAAGUCUGUUGUGGCAGAAAACUGAUGUCUCCAGCCAACAGCACUGAGGCCCUGAGACCUGCCAACUGUCAUGAUCUUCCGAUGCCUGGACACAGAAAGAGCAGUGGAAGGGGUCGUUGCAUGAGCAAAGACAAAGAGUGGGACACUGACUGUUACAUCUCAAGGAGAAGGAUUGCCAGAUCAAAAGUCUUGCAGUUAACCAGGCGUGGUGGCAGAUACCUGUAAUCCCAGCUAUUCGGGAGGCUGAGGCAGGAGAAUCGCUUGUACCCGGGAGGCAGAGGUUGCAGUGAGCUGAGACCGCGCCAUUGACUCCUGCCUGAUGACAAGAGAGAAUCUACGUCUCAACAACAACAACACGCUUGGGCACUGUAUUAACUCCAUAAUCGGUUUAUUCAUAAUGCUGCAUCAUCCAACCAUCAUCCAACCUAUUUAUCAUUCACAAUGCCACCUGUGAAUACUGGCUUCCAUUGACUCUUUCAAGAAUUGCUACUGGGCCUCACCAAUGUUGACCACAAAUGCAAGUCAUACUGAGA
Molecule: long non-coding RNA, 1431 nt
Filed under: Homo sapiens (human)
Lineage: Eukaryota; Metazoa; Chordata; Mammalia; Primates; Hominidae
Description: HSALNT0179026
Source: RNAcentral